This 98-nucleotide small nuclear RNA is filed under the name Panthera leo (lion). Lineage: Eukaryota; Metazoa; Chordata; Mammalia; Carnivora; Felidae. RNAcentral also lists the same sequence under 1 other name. The record is from RNAcentral.
GUGCUUCCUUUGGCAGCAUAUAUAUUAAAACUUGAAUGAUACAUAGAAGAUUAGUAUGGUCCCUGUGAAAGUCAUUCAUACAAAUUUGUGUUUUAUUU